GUGCUAGUUUACUAGAACUAUCAUACAGGUGCUGCACGGCUGUCGUCAGCUCGUGUCGUGAGAUGUUGGGUUAAGUCCCGCAACGAGCGCAACCCUCGUGUUUAGUUACUAACAGUUCGGCUGAGGACUCUAGACAGACUGCCUGGGUAACCAGGAGGAAGGUGAGGACGACGUCAAGUCAUCAUGGCCCUUACGGCCAGGGCUACACACGUGCUACAAUGGGGUAUACAAAGAGCCGCGAUACCGUGAGGUGGAGCAAAUCUCAUAAAAUAUCUCCCAGUUCGGAUAGUAGUCUGCAACUCGACUACUUGAAGUUGGAAUCGCUAGUAAUCGUAGAUCAGCAAUGCUACGGUGAAUACGUUCCCGGGUCUUGUACUCACCGCCCGUCACA
Molecule: ribosomal RNA, 391 nt
Filed under: uncultured Campylobacterota bacterium
Lineage: Bacteria; Pseudomonadati; Campylobacterota
Description: bacterial SSU rRNA
Rfam family: Bacterial small subunit ribosomal RNA
Source: RNAcentral